RNAcentral lists this ribosomal RNA (253 nucleotides) under uncultured bacterium. RNAcentral's name for it is "partial 16S ribosomal RNA". It matches the Rfam family "Bacterial small subunit ribosomal RNA", at positions 524 to 776 of the family's 1533-position model. The record is from RNAcentral.
UACGGAGGAUGCAAGCGCUAUCCGGAAUUAUUGGGCGUAAAGGGUCCGCAGGUGGCAGUGUAAGUCUGCUGUCAAAGAAUGAGGCUUAACCUUAUCAAGGCAGUGGAAACUACACAGCUAGAGUACGGUCGGGGUAGAAGGAAUUCCUGGUGUAGCGGUGAAAUGCGUAGAGAUCAGGAAGAACACCGGUGGCGAAAGCGUUCUGCUAGACCUGUACUGACACUGAGGGACGAAAGCUAGGGGAGCGAAUGGG